RNAcentral lists this ribosomal RNA (497 nucleotides) under uncultured bacterium. RNAcentral describes it as "partial 16S ribosomal RNA". It matches the Rfam family "Bacterial small subunit ribosomal RNA", at positions 28 to 507 of the family's 1533-position model. The record is from RNAcentral.
GAUGAACGCUGGCGGCGUGCCUAAUACAUGCAAGUCGAGCGAACAGACGAGGCUCUUGCUCCUCUGACGUUAGCGGCGGACGGGUGAGUAACACGUGUAUAACCUACCUAUCAUACUGGGAUCACUUCGGGAAACCGGAGCUAAUACCGUAUAAUCUAUUGAACCGCAUUGUUCAAUAGUGAAAUACGGUUUUGCUGUCACUUAUAGAUGGAUCCGCGCCGCAUUAGCUAGUUGGUAAGGUAACGGCUUACCAAGGCAACGAUGCGUAGCCGACCUGAGAGGGUGAUCGGCCGCACGAGAACUGAGACACGGUCCAGACUACUAAGGGAGGCAGCAGUAGGGAAUCUUCCGCAAUGGGCGAAAGCCUGACGGAGCAACGCCGCGUGAGUGAUGAAGGUGUUCGGAGCGUAAAACUCUGUUACUAGGGAAGAACAAAUGUGUAAGGAAAUAUGCACGUAUUGACGGUACCUAAUCAGAAAGCCACGGCUAACUACGUG